Long non-coding RNA from Podarcis raffonei (Aeolian wall lizard), 643 nucleotides. RefSeq lists it as uncharacterized. The record is from RefSeq and is a predicted model, not a curated record. Lineage: Eukaryota; Metazoa; Chordata; Lepidosauria; Squamata; Lacertidae. The transcript is spliced from 2 exons.
UCUAAUGUAGGGAUGAGUGCAUGUGUCCAUUUUGGUAUUUCUAUAUAAUAAAAAUGUAAAAAUGUCAUCAUGCAGCCCCUAUUGGAGGAUAUACAUGGGUUUGCAUUAGGUUGAAGCUUGGAUGGGAGCAUCUGCCCCCAUCCAUACUUGGAGUCUGAACUCACCUACACUCAUGUUUGGGCCCUGUUUGUGGGUUUCCCACAGGAAUCUGGUAGGCCAUGGUGAGAACAGGAUACUAGGCUAGAUGGGCCAUUGGCCAGAACCAGCAGAGCUCUUCUUAUGUUCUUACACAAGGGUAUUUCAGCAGAAAAAUCAUUGUGGAAACGGGUUUGGGGUGUGUGGAAUCUAUUUGCACUCUGAUGACGUCACAAUGGAUGCUUUUGGAAUUUCAGAAUGCAUUAGCCAUGUUCCCAAAGGGAGGCCUCAUUGACAGGAAGGCGGACAUGUAAUCCAGAAGUGGUGGACCAAAAACAGAUUUCUGCCACCUGCUCAAAGUGGCACAGCAUCAGAGAAGAUGAACAGUGACCAGAUGCUUGGCACCUCUUCCUGCUCCUCCUCCCCACUGCCCUUCAUCAUGCCACGCCAGUAGAAGAUAUUUCACCAUUAAAUGGAGAGUCAGAAUGAACAUCCAGCUUCUGCUUCA